Molecule: ribosomal RNA, 403 nt
Filed under: uncultured bacterium
Lineage: Bacteria
Description: bacterial SSU rRNA
Rfam family: Bacterial small subunit ribosomal RNA
Source: RNAcentral
GGGGAAUAUUGGGCAAUGGGCGCAAGCCUGACCCAGCAACGCCGCGUGAAGGAAGAAGGCUUUCGGGUUGUAAACUUCUUUUGGCAGGGACGAAAUAAAUGACGGUACCUGCAGAAUAAGCUCCGGCUAACUACGUGCCAGCAGCCGCGGUAAUACGUAGGGAGCAAGCGUUAUCCGGAUUUACUGGGUGUAAAGGGCGCGUAGGCGGGACUGCAAGUCAGAUGUGAAAUCUGGGGGCUCAACCCCCAAACUGCAUUUGAAACUGUGGUUCUUGAGUGAUGGAGAGGCAAGUGGAAUUCCUAGUGUAGCGGUGAAAUGCGUAGAUAUUAGGAGGAACACCAGUGGCGAAGGCGACUUGCUGGACAUUAACUGACGCUGAGGCGCGAAAGCGUGGGGAGCAAAC